AUGGGGAAGCCCACAGAAAAGCCCGCUGAUGGGGGAAGGAGCAACCGCCACCCCGCCCACGUGAGAAGAGAUCCCAGCAGCCAAAUGCGGAUGCGAAUAUUUACUCAACCUUCCUUUGAACGCAAAGGUAACAGGAGCACAACACCCGGCCAUGAGCAACAGGGCUCCCCGCCCUGGGCGCACCGCCACCUCCGCCGCUCGGAGUCUGCCCCGAGCGCGCACGCGCGCCGUGCACCUGCCCCAUCGCGCCCAGCGGCUGCCCGCGGGUUCUUCCAGCAGCUCCCGGCACGCCAGCGCUGUGCGGGCCGGGAGUGUCCGUCACUCUCAGCGCUCAGGAUCUCUCCCUUUCCAGGACCGCUACGAAGCAGGAAACCCUUUUCCUGUCACGUUUAUAUCCCGUUCAUUCUUCCUCCGGCCAAUUUAAGUCCAUUCACAGCCGCCACAGAUGCACGUGUGCGCGCGCGCAGCUGCACCUUUAAAGAAACUCUCAAGUCCUGGCAGCCAGAAAACCAGCUUUCGGGCGGGGCGGCGGGGCUCCCCCUCCCCUUGCCUCCUCUCUGAAGAUCCUUGUGCUCUAGGGAGGGAUGGCCGCACACUCUGACGAGGACGAAGGUGGUGCAUAACGCGGAGGUCAGUUUUGCACAGUCCGGGCAAAAGAGACCUCCCACCAGCAUCCUCGCCUGUUCAGUUUCCCUCUCUGGCCCAGCGCGAAGGACGAGGGGCGACAGAAGCCCGAGGGACAGAAAACCGAGGCCCCUCAGUGGCCGAGUUGGGAGAGGGUGUGAGUCCGGGAGAGCCCGAGGGCCGCAGGGAGAGGGCGCAGAAGGUCGAGCGCACAGAGCCAGAGGCCCCCUCUUCUCCCGCCGCGCGGAGCUGGAGGUGCAGACGCCAGGUCCGCGGCGCGGCCCGGCUAUGUGUCGCUCCUCCGCGCGCCGCCCGCCGCCGCCCGUGCCCUCGGGCCGCCGCCGCCGCUGCCCCCCGUCGAGCCCGCGGCCGCACCCUCGGGCCGAUACUUGAGCCAGCAGAUGACCCAGGUGACAACGACUGAGAAGAGUGCCAGGAUGCUGGCCACCGACAGGCAGAUGGGCCCCACGGGCGAGGGUGAGGGCGACCCAGCGGCAGGUGCCUCGCCAGGGGGCGCCCCUCCUCCGGGGGGUCCCCCGCCGCCGUAGUGGUUGACGAAGAUGAGGCCGGUGAAGAGCAGCACCACCAUGGAGAGGAAGGAGAAGACCACGCACACGCAGCCGGCGAAAUAUUGCUGAAAUUUAAAGGAGGACGAAGACACAGAUUCAUAGCUGGCUCUUGCUGUUUUCCUGACGCUGACCACAGCGGAUAGAGCCUAUUCAAUGUGAAGAUGACAAGGAUGAAGACCUUUAUGAUGAUUUACUUCCACUUAAUCAAUAGUAAAUAUAUUCUCUUCCUCAUGAUUUUCUUAAUAAUA
Non-coding RNA from Macaca mulatta (Rhesus monkey), 1441 nucleotides. The record is from RefSeq and is a predicted model, not a curated record. Lineage: Eukaryota; Metazoa; Chordata; Mammalia; Primates; Cercopithecidae.